Molecule: non-coding RNA, 3185 nt
Organism: Arachis ipaensis
Lineage: Eukaryota; Viridiplantae; Streptophyta; Magnoliopsida; Fabales; Fabaceae
Source: RefSeq, a predicted model, not a curated record
UUUAAUUUCGGUUUUUCAAUUUUGUUGUUCUCCUCCGCAGCUUCCACUCCUACCCGCGCGCCGCCACUCUCUUCCCGGAGAUCGUCGAAUCUAUCAAACAGGUUUCUACACACACUCUCUCUCCAUUUACAGACUGUCAAAAUACCCUAAUUCCUAAAUCCUAAAUAAAAUCAGCAGUGCAAGUUCCCUUCUCACGCUCUCAGCAGCGCCAAGUUCUCCGGCCGUCUGUCGCCUCCCGUGUCCUCGUCUUCCAGUAGUCGUCCGGUCGUCGUCGUCGCCGCCUUCCUGCGGUUCCCUCCAGUCGCCGUCAUGGUCUCAGUUCCGUGUAGUGGAGAAACCAAAAGAAUACAUAUGCAGGGAAGUGGACAUUGUAGUUGAUCAUGUUGGAAAUGUUUCUGCCAGUCUUGACGGGCUUAUCUCUCAAACAAAUGCAUUUUCUGAUGCUGAGUUAAGAGAAUCCAAUGCCUCAAACAAAUAUUCAAAGCAAUUGAUGUGCCUAUAGAGUGGGAAGAGCACUAUGUAGAAACUGAAAUUGACCCUAUGACACAGAUCUUUCUGACAUGGUAAAGCUUGGAAUCACAUUGGCAAAAUCGGGUUUGCUUGAAAGGGCCAAUGGCCACUCCCAUUGGAAAAGGGAAUUGUUCAUUGAACCUUUUCCUACGAAAUUGGAGAAACUUUUGCUUCCAUUUCCAUCGAUUCUCAACUUCUUCCAUCGAGUCUUCUUCUCCCUUACCCUUCAAAUCCAUCACUUCCACUAUUAGGACCAAGCCAAGUAAGAGGAUUCCCAAUAACAGUUCCUUCUUCAUACCCAUUCCUCAUCAAACCAUUCCUCAAGCCAAAGGCCAAGACCUUGAUUUCAUUAACGUUUCCCACAGCCACAUCAUUCACUCUCAGUGGGAAAAUCUCCAACCUUUCUCACAUCCCCUCACACCCUUCAGGGUCAAACACAUCCUCCUCAAGCUAAAAAAUGACGCCGUUCUCUCCCUCAAAUUUUCCAACUGGGUUCAAAACCAAAACCCUAGUUGCCACUCCCUCGAAACACACGCCAUCUUACUCCAUACUCUUGCCAAAAACCGAAACUUUAGAGCCAUUCAAACGCUCCUCAAGAGGAUCAUCGCUGAUUCAGGCGCUUUGGAUUUGGAUUUGCCUUCUAAGCUCUUUGAAUCAUUGUUGUGUUCUUACCGUUUGUGUGAUUCCACCCCUCUUGUUUUUGAUGCGCUUUUCAAGACUUUUGCGCAUUUGAAUAAAAUUAGGAAUGCCACUAACACGUUUUGCCGCAUGAAGGAGUAUGGGUUCUUCCCCACUGUUGAGUCCUGCAAUGCUUUCAUGAGUUCUCUGAUUCAUUUGCAGAGGCCUGAGGUAGCUUUGUUGUUCUACUGCGAGAUGCGUAGGUCUUGUGUUUCGAUCAAUGUAUACACUGUUAACAUGGUUAUAUGUGCUUAUUGCAAGUUAGGGGAGUUGCAGAAGGGUUUUGAGGUGUUGGAGAAGAUGAGGGACAUGGGUUUGAGUCCAAAUGUUGUGUCGUUUAAUGCAUUGAUUUCAGGGUAUUGUAAUAAGGGAAUGGUUAGUUUGGCAUUGAAGGUUAAGUCCUUGAUGGAGCAUAAUGGGGUGCAACCAAAUGUGGUUACUUUUAACACCAUCAUCAAUGGGUUCUGCAAGGAGAGGAAGUUGCAUGAGGCUAAUAAGGUUUUCAAUGAGAUGAAGGGUUGCAAUGUGGCUUCUAAUAUUGUGACAUACAAUACUUUGAUCAAUGGGUAUAGUUCAGUUGGGAACAGCGAAAUGGGGACAAGGCUUUAUGAGGAGAUGAGGAGGGAUGGGAUUAAGGCUGAUAUACUGACUUAUAAUGCAUUGAUUUUGGGAUUGUGUAAGGAGGGGAAAACGAAAAAGGCUGCGUAUCUGGUUAAGGAACUUGACAAGGAGAACUUGGUCCCGAAUGCGUCAACCUUUUCAGCACUGAUCACCGGGCAGUGUGCGAGAAAGAACUCUGAGCGUGCCUUUCUUAUUUAUAGGAGCAUGAUAAGGAGUGGUUGUAAUCCGAAUGAGCAUACGUUCAAGAUGUUGAUGUCUGCUUUCUUGCAUAAUGAAGACUUUGAGGGUGCUGUGCAGGUCUUGAGGGACAUGUUGGGCAGGUCGAUGGCUCCUGAUUCUCUUGUCUUGUCUGAGCUCUGUGGUGGACUUUGUAGGUGUGGGAGAAAUCAAUUGGCAUCCACACUAUGUAGUGAGAUGGAAAAUAAGCAUCUAUUGCCGGAAGGUUUUGACAAAGGACAGAUAACCAUUGAUCAUCCAGAGAAUGAGACAAAGAACUGAACUUAUCAGGUUCGAAACAUAAUAUGUGAAUAGGGUAAAAGGCCUUUGUACUAUGGACAGGCACAAGCAGAGGAUGAGAUAGGGCUAUUGCAAAAGAACAUUGUUCCUUGGCAGCCAUGAGACCUACAUUUGCUGCUAUGUUGACGAAUGAUUUAACAAUGGGCAUGUUGAGCACGAUGAGUUGGUACUCAUAUAUAUGAUCUGUCAAUUAUCUUUCACAUGAAUGGAUGUGGAAUAGUCUUCAUGCUGCUGAUGACAAAUAAAGAAAGAAGUACUGCAAAUUUGGUUUGUGCAUAUUUAUGCUAUGAAAGAGAAGCUUGCAAUUGGAGGAGUGUGAUAAUAGAGCAAAGGGGAUAUUGUGAAAGUUUUGAAGGUGUCCGUUACAUUCCCUGAUGAUGUAAGGGUAUUUGGAGAGAGAGGAAUAGAAGCUUCCAAUCCUAAAUCAAGGAAAAUUCCACCCCUACCUUUUCACUAUAGUAGAAGAAAUAAGAGGGGGUAAAAUGGGAAAUAAUGCUUUGGGAAAUAUGGUUGUAACUAACUUGCGACAUGGCUCGGGUAGUGAGGGAAGCAUGAGAGCUGAGGCGUGAGGGUAUUUGAUAACAGAUUGGAGAGAGAAUACAGAUUUUGGGAGUAAGGAGUGAGAAUUAGACUAGGAGAGAGGCUGACUCUCUAAUAUCAGCCCCUAUCUUUCAUUUCUACUGUUUCAUUACUUCAUACUGUAAUUCUGCAUUUUCUAAAUUCAAUGAGUACAGGAGUGAGAUUUCCUUGAUCCACUCCCUUGAUUUUGUGAGCUGUGUGUGGGUAUUUUGUGCUUGUACAGAUACCAGUUUUUACAGUGUCCUCUGAACUUCAAUGGAUACCAGAUGCUGAGAUUACAA